AUGUGUUUAAGUUAUAUCAGA
This 21-nucleotide small nuclear RNA is filed under the name Arabidopsis thaliana (thale cress). RNAcentral's name for it is "snRNA_13425". Lineage: Eukaryota; Viridiplantae; Streptophyta; Magnoliopsida; Brassicales; Brassicaceae. The record is from RNAcentral.